Molecule: RNA transcript, 1026 nt
Organism: Triticum dicoccoides
Lineage: Eukaryota; Viridiplantae; Streptophyta; Magnoliopsida; Poales; Poaceae
Exons: 4
Source: RefSeq, a predicted model, not a curated record
CACCUCCUCGCACGAAGCUUCCGGUGGAGGCCUCUACCAGUUCCGGCGCUCCGGUCUCGUGCGCCGGCACGCAAGGACGUCGCGGUGGCCGAGGCGGCGGGCUGGCGGGUUUGGCUUUUCCCACGCACGCGCACGGUCACUGAGAGCAGCGCGCGCAGCGGAGUGCACUAACUUUUCCAGAAUUCCGGGAAUCUCACGCACGGGCUAGCCUGGAACUCCGUUUGUUUCCAGGCGAUUGGUGGAAUUGUUUGGGGAAUCCAGUUUCUCUCAUGCCCGAAUUUUGUUGGUGGAAUCGGUUGGCUAGAGGAGCAAGGUUAGGGCAGUGACCGGAAGAGAGAUUGAUCCGGUGAUGUCCUUGUCGCAGAUGCUCUCCCGGGCAGACCCGAUGCAGCCGUCGGGGCCUCGCCGGAUUGUGAGGAGGCAGACCGCCAUCAACCUCGGCGAGCCCAUCUUCGACAUUGAGGUGGUGCCAUCGUCGCUCGUGGAGAUCGCGCCCAUCCUCCGUGUCGCCAACGAGGUCGAGGCGGCCAGCCCCUGUGUCACCUACCUCUGUUGAUGCGGAAUUUGAUGCACCAUAGUGUACAUGAUGCACCUUCCCUACUGUUCAGAUUGGGUAAAUCGUUUGGUUCCAUAACACGCUCAUCCACGCAGCGCACGGAGGCAGACACAUUGGUCACCUGGAAGGCAGAGCUGGAGCAGCUGCGCAAGGCGGAGCUCGAGGCGACGGCACGCCUUGGGGGCCAGUGGGGUGGCGCGUCGCGGGUGCCGGCAAGUGCGGCUACAAGUGGCUUCUAAGGUCCGACCUACCUGCAAUAAUUAAUAAUGUAUUAAUCCUGCACUCAUGUAUCCAAAGUGAUAUUCUCACAAAUUACUGGAGUUCGGCUGCUCCCUUACAUAGCAAGACUGCUACUACUACUACAGAUUAAAUGUUGUAUACAUGUAGCCUAUACUAACAUAGAAGAGAUUAAACAUUGUCAAUUUGAUGUAAUUUUUAUUGUUCUGUGUACUGACAUAGCAGUAAUAUAA